GACGAACGCUGGCGGCGUGCUUAACACAUGCAAGUCGAACGGACGAGUGAGAUAAGUUUACUUAACUCACAAGUUAGUGGCGGACGGGUGAGUAACACGUGGAUAAUCUACCUGCAACACCGGGAUAACGCUGUGAAAACGGUGCUAAUACCGGAUACGUUCCCUUGUGCGCAUGUAUGAGGGAAGAAAGCUCAGGCGGUUGCAGAUGAGUCCGCGGCUGAUUAGCUAGUUGGUGAGGUAAAGGCUCACCAAGGCGAUGAUCAGUAGCCGGCCUGAGAGGGUGAACGGCCACACUGGGACUGAGACACGGCCCAGACUCCUACGGGAGGCAGCAGUGGGGAAUCUUCCGCAAUGGGCGCAAGCCUGACGGAGCAACGCCGCGUGGGUGAAGAAGGCCUCGGUUGUAAGCCUGUCUUAUGGAGAAGUCAGUGACGGUACCGAUAGGAGGAAGGACCACGGCGUAACUAACGUGCCAGCAGCCGCGGUAAGAGUAGUA
RNAcentral lists this ribosomal RNA (496 nucleotides) under uncultured bacterium. RNAcentral's name for it is "bacterial SSU rRNA". It matches the Rfam family "Bacterial small subunit ribosomal RNA", at positions 28 to 531 of the family's 1533-position model. The record is from RNAcentral.